UCCAGAAACUGGAAGUCAGAACUUGCGAUUGCUUCAUUCUGGCCCCUUUAAGCACUGCCAUGUUCAUCCCUGGAUGUUCAGUUGCAACCAUCCCUGCUGCACCCUAUGGUCAGCUUUGGGAAUCUUGUCAACCAUUUCUUCAUUUCUGCACAUUUGAUUCCUCUGAACAUUAGGCAGCUGAAGGUAUCAUCUCCAUAAAACAUGCAAGCAGGCUGUCUCCUAUUCCGGUAACUGGAAUAUCAGGAUUCUCCAAAGAAUCAUGUGAUGACAAGGCAGCACACAGCUGCCCUCUGGAGUGCUGUUGUCCUUCACUCUUGCUGGAAGCCACCUGACCACUGCCAGGAAGAAGAAUGCAAAACAUUCCCAGGAGCGGCUGUGACGUCAGUACCACAUUCCACUCUCCGCGGUCAGGACUGUGGGGAAACUCCAGCCUCUAGCGAACCCUUCAGAUGAGAUAACAGCUGAGCCUGCACUAAAUCACACUGAGAACUUCCCAAUGUUAUGCUUUAAAGAUAUUUUUUAUAAAAAGGAGGGAGGGCAGGAACAGAGCUGGCUUUUUAAGGCAUAUUUACUGUUAAUCUUCAAAAGUGCUUUUUUGUUUGCUAUGUGGAGGGAAAUCAAGGAAAAAUGAUUUACCAACAGUCAUCAGCAUACCAAUCCCUUUGGGCCAGUGAUUUUCAACCAGGGUGCUGCAAGAAUGUUUAAAACAUGCAAUACCUGACUAUUUAGUCCGGGGCACUGAGCUCUUUGCCCUUAGAUUUGUAAAAUAAAACAGUGACAACAGCCAACACAACAACAGCUGUCUGGUGUGAAUGAGUCAAAAUCACACCUAUUUUUUGUCAAAUUGGCAAAAAAUACAUUUUUUUGGUGUGCCCUAGAAUUUUAGUAAUUACUUUAUGUGUGCCAUGAGAUGAAAAGGCUUGAAAAUAGUUGCCUUAGGCAUUAGCGUGUAAAUAGGGUAAGAUGAACAACAGAUUAGUUUGGGCCUCAACCAGUAGAACUUGCUCAAUUAAACAAACCCAACAACCCAGUCUCCAAACCCCUUUCCAGGAGAAAAAGACGAAAAGUCCCACUCAAGAAGGCAUAGACACGUUUAGACAGCAGUAAAAACCUUUUAUCUAAAGGGAAAUAGUGUAAAGAGAUACAAACUAAACGGUACAAGUAUUACAAAGAAAAUACAAACGUUUAUAUGCAUAAUCCUGUUAUAUGCAACUUUCAUUUGUAACUUCCUAGAGUCCUCAACAAGCACAUUUAACAUAUAUUUUGUACACUGUCUUUGCAUAUAUCAAACACUUUCCCAUGCUGAUUAUGAUCAUCUAUACUUUAUGAAACUCUAAAACUGUAAAAUGUUUCUUGGGGAGAAGGGAGGAGGGGUCUCUUACAAAAAUGUUUUAAUGCGCAUCAUUUUUUUUGUGUGUUUUUCUAAAUAAUAUCCUUGGAAUAAACUUGCAGGCAUGGAUAACUAAA
Myotis myotis is the source of this 1467-nucleotide long non-coding RNA. RefSeq lists it as uncharacterized. The record is from RefSeq and is a predicted model, not a curated record. Lineage: Eukaryota; Metazoa; Chordata; Mammalia; Chiroptera; Vespertilionidae. The transcript is spliced from 3 exons.